Sycon ciliatum is the source of this 2196-nucleotide long non-coding RNA. RefSeq lists it as uncharacterized. The transcript is spliced from 4 exons. The record is from RefSeq and is a predicted model, not a curated record. NCBI's taxonomy places the organism in Eukaryota, Metazoa, Porifera, Calcarea, Leucosolenida, Sycettidae.
ACUAAGUCAAUAUUGUAUUGUAUUGUAUUGUAUUGUAUUUAUUUAAAAGGAUUCUCCAAAAGCAAAUGGAUGCUUAUCACGGAAAUCUCCCACAUAAAUAUCGCAAGAAAAAUGGGGAAAUGGGGGAGAGGAGAGUGGAAGAUGAAGCAUGGGAAGAAGGGAAACAAGUACCUAAAUAUCGAGGUAUAAAAGCAGGAAAGAAAUCGACGAGGGAAGAAAUCACCUCUGCAGAUAAUAGCGGGACAUUUAGAUGAAAAAAACCCAGCAAGGAUUAAUUUCAAGGAAAAAAAAUUCUCAAACGGAAAAGUUCGGAAUUCCAGUCAGAGAAUAUCUAUGCUGUGAGUAAUGAGUCUUUAGAGCAAUGCGAAAAUUGACAGAGGACUGAACGCAGCGGAUGUGUUCUGGAAGUUUGUUCCAUUCCACAGAUAAACUGAAGAGAGGGGAUUUAAGGAAAUGGGCGCCAGAACGAGGUAAAACUAUAGAGGACGGGUGACGACAACUAAGGGAUACAUUGAAUUUGAAACGAAUUAGCAAAGACGGAAACUGGUAAAAGACAUGAUGAAAAUACAGCAAGGACAGAAUCUGACGACGCCACUUCAGGGAUGACCAGUCACAAGUACGAUGACCAGUCACAAGUACAUAUUAGGUGUAUCAUGACUAGCCAAAGCCUGUGUUCAAUCGCUAAAAAGGAGUCAAAUAUAAGCAGUCUAUAUAGUCCUAAGGAGUGAAAUAUGCAUGAAUAUUGGACUGCUUAGGUAUAGCGAAAAUGUAUGGAAGUCAAUACUAAGGGAGUGAUAAUUCGAAGUAUAUCGCUGCCGGAAUGUCGAAAAUCGUGAAAUCAUCAGCUGAAAUUUUGCAGCACCGAAAUUUUAUUUCUUUACAGCAUAGAACUCACCGUACUCGUAUUGCACCUUCUUUUUGCUCUGUGAGUUUCAGACCUUAUUGAAGGCAGGUCACCACGGCGUAUGAACAAUACUCGUGCUGCCUACAGCAUGGAGGCUUUCCAUCAUGUUCUCUCCAGAUGUCUACAUGUACGUGUGCGGUGACGAUAGUAACGGCAUCGCAAUCGCAAUCUUCAAACCGGCCGGAGUCCGGCCUCCAGCACCACCAAUGCCGCCACCACCACCAUACGGAUUGGUGAAAAGAUCAUCCGUGGAGCAGCGGCAUGGCAUGCUAUGCAAGAGCAGGAGAAUCCCCCAGCACCUCUGCCGCCAUCGCCGGCUCCCACCUCUGAGGAGAGACAGCGGCGAUGGCAGCAGAGGCUUUCUGAUGCACACAUGGACAAGAUGGAGGAAACGGAUGUUUGAGUGCCCUGACUGGAGUGAAUGCCCCAGCUGCCAUGGCCUCUCGUUUGGCAGUGGUUGCUACUAGACCUUCUAGUAUCACACUCGCGACUACAAGAUUCGUGGUGCACAUGGACAUCGCCAUCAGUGAGGCCUCCCGCUGUCAAUCCUGUUGAGGGGCGGACAGGUCGGUGUGAAACCUGAACGGCAACCGAGCCCGUCGCGUUGGAGGAUCUCAGUGCUGAUUCAGCUGCUACCUCCUCAGUCACUGCCAUCGUUGAAAGUUUCGUCCACAAAGCACUCAUCUAUCAUUCCUUCCUACGCUCCGUGACAUAUAUAACUCACUUUCAGCAUCACUUUCUUUUUACAUGCAUAUCUCCAAUAAUUGGUAUUUGUAUUGUGAAACCAUACCGACAUUAUAGUUUUAUACAAUUCACAUCCCAGUAAGCCAUGAACGGAGACCCCCUCGACCAUGGCCUCGGCCUUUGGGGAAUGCAUAAAAAAAUAAAUAACAUGGCGUGCGACAGCUAGCCGCUUGCACCUCUUCCCCGUAUGCCUGUAAUAUCUUGCACAUAACCCCGCUUGCCGUCGCGUCAUUAACUUUCAUUUCCCUAAAGUAUUCUAAGCGUCUGUAGCCAUCACAGCGAGUGGAAUAUUGCACCUUGCAGUUGCACUUGUUUGUUGGUACAUUGCAGGGCAAGUAUCUCCCCAUCUCUAACUACUAACCACUAUUUCUUUUACACCCUUCUCACACUAUGUGGUAAUACAGUCUCCCUUGGACCUUUGUUGAGAAUAUAAGAUUACCGACUGUAACUGUGGGCAGUGGAAGAACAAUUCGGACUUUGUAGCACAAUAGUUAUUGGUUUGUUCUCUCGAUCACUAUUCCAUGUACAUGUACAUGUAGAUUCACUGA